Molecule: ribosomal RNA, 484 nt
Filed under: uncultured bacterium
Lineage: Bacteria
Description: partial 16S ribosomal RNA
Rfam family: Bacterial small subunit ribosomal RNA
Source: RNAcentral
AGUGAACGCUGGCGGCAGGCCUAACACAUGCAAGUCGAGCGGCAGCGGGUCCUUCGGGCUGCCGGCGAGCGGCGGACGGGUGAGGAAUACAUCGGAAUCUGCCCUGUCGUGGGGGAUAACCUAGGGAAACUUAGGCUAAUACCGCAUACGACCUACGGGUGAAAGCGGGGGAUCGCAAGACCUCGCGCGACAGGAUGAGCCGAUGUCCGAUUAGCUAGUUGGCGGGGUAAAGGCCCACCAAGGCGACGAUCGGUAGCUGGUCUGAGAGGAUGAUCAGCCACACUGGGACUGAGACACGGCCCAGACUCCUACGGGAGGCAGCAGUGGGGAAUAUUGGACAAAGGGCGCAAGCCUGAUCCAGCCAUGCCGCGUGGGUGAAGAAGGCCUUCGGGUUGUAAAGCCCUUUUGUCCGGGAAGAAAUCGUCUGGGCUAAUACCCCGGGCGGAUGACGGUACCGGAAGAAUAAGCACCGGCUAACUUCGUG